Onychostoma macrolepis is the source of this 397-nucleotide long non-coding RNA. RefSeq lists it as uncharacterized. The record is from RefSeq and is a predicted model, not a curated record. Lineage: Eukaryota; Metazoa; Chordata; Actinopteri; Cypriniformes; Cyprinidae. The transcript has 3 exons.
AAUGGAGAACUGUGUUUUUGUUUAAUUGGCCCUUUUAUUUGAACCAAUAGAGUGAAUUUGGGGGCAGGACUAUCUGAUGUUCGACGAAUGGUAGACGGGGGACAGUGUUUUGGAAACUUGUUUGGGUUUCAUCUGAACUCACUACUUCAAGAAUGAUUUUCAGAGUCACUCACCCUGCUCGGACUUUGAGACGACCUUUGACAUCAUCGAACGCAGGACAGGGAACGGCAUGAUGGCAAACAUAGCAGGAAUCCUCACUGAACAUAAUGAGCGUGGUCUUUGCGAAGGCCGUCAUGAACAUGCUUGUAGCGACUGACAGCAUCCCGAUGAAGACGAUGGCAGUGUUAGGCAGACAGAGGGAGAACAAAUACACACCGACAAAACUAGUGAUAAAGAU